GUGCACACCACUGCCCCGCUAUGAAGGGGUUUAAAAC
RNAcentral lists this non-coding RNA (37 nucleotides) under Kouleothrix aurantiaca. The record is from RNAcentral. Lineage: Bacteria; Bacillati; Chloroflexota; Chloroflexia; Chloroflexales; Roseiflexaceae.